AUGACAAGAAAAUCUCUUGUUUCUUCUUUGUCAUUGAAAGUCUCUUUAAUAAGACAUGAUUCCAUCGCUUCAACUUCUUCUUCUUUCUCUCCUUCUCAUUCACCUUCUUCUCAGCCAAGUGAGGGUAUGAAAAAUCCAAGAGUAUUCCAUGUGACAUCUUAUGGUGCAGACCCAACAGGAAAUUCAGAUAGUACUGAAGCUAUCCUUGUAGCCAUAGCAGAUGCAUCCAAUGUUCUAAGUGAAUGA
Vicia faba (fava bean) is the source of this 246-nucleotide non-coding RNA. Lineage: Eukaryota; Viridiplantae; Streptophyta; Magnoliopsida; Fabales; Fabaceae. The record is from the annotation of a GenBank genome assembly.